This 253-nucleotide ribosomal RNA is filed under the name uncultured bacterium. Its description in RNAcentral is "partial 16S ribosomal RNA". It matches the Rfam family "Bacterial small subunit ribosomal RNA", at positions 524 to 776 of the family's 1533-position model. The record is from RNAcentral.
UACGUAGGGGGCAAGCGUUGUCCGGAAUCAUUGGGCGUAAAGAGCGUGUAGGCGGCUCGGUAAGUCCGCUCUGAAAGCCCGGGGCUCAACCCCGGGAGGCGGGCGGAUACUGUCGGGCUAGAGUCCGGAAGAGGCGAGUGGAAUUCCUGGUGUAGCGGUGAAAUGCGCAGAUAUCAGGAGGAACACCAAUGGCGAAGGCAGCUCGCUGGGACGGUACUGACGCUGAGGAGCGAAAGCGUGGGGAGCGAACAGG